This 83-nucleotide non-coding RNA is filed under the name Pontibacillus halophilus. RNAcentral's name for it is "c-di-GMP-II sequence". It matches the Rfam family "Cyclic di-GMP-II riboswitch aptamer". The record is from RNAcentral. Lineage: Bacteria; Bacillati; Bacillota; Bacilli; Caryophanales; Bacillaceae. RNAcentral also lists the same sequence under 1 other name.
UAUUUUAGUGGGUGCAUCGAAGCCAAUCUACAGAUGGGCGCUUAUGAUUGGUGGAGCAAGUAGCGCAACCGACCGCAAUGGGG